Danio rerio (zebrafish) is the source of this 220-nucleotide non-coding RNA. NCBI's taxonomy places the organism in Eukaryota, Metazoa, Chordata, Actinopteri, Cypriniformes, Danionidae. The record is from RefSeq and is a predicted model, not a curated record.
CUGCUGCACAAGAGCGUCUGUACUUCUGCAUAAAUCUACGAAGCUGUCUAUCUUCUUGGAGCAGCCGCAUCUGAUGGAACAUGCCUUUAAUGUCACUCAUGAUGGCAACAAAACGCUCUCUGAAGGGAAGCAACACUCCAAACAAGGUGGAAGGAAGAGUGGGCCCAGGCAGCAGAUACUCAAUAAGGUUAUGGCUUUGAUACGGUGAUGGUCAGCGGCU